AUUAGACUCUAUUUGCUAGAGUAUAUUAAAAAGUUAGCAGUUACUGUGCUUUGCAUUAGGAGCUUAAAAGGAUUUAGUUUCUUUCUAGAAAAAGUAACAUCGAUGGUCUUACCUUUCUUAGUUUUAUUGAUAUACUUUUACUGUUUCGUAGUGAUGAAUGUUGAGGUUCAAGAAAUAAUGUUGUUCCUUCUGUGUUUAUCCUAUAUUUGAAUCACUAUAUUGCAUUCGUAAUCAUUAUAUUCUUCUCCACGUUAUUUAAGUUGGUUGACAUAGCAUGUCCUCUCCAGGUUGAAUGUAAU
RNAcentral lists this unclassified non-coding RNA (299 nucleotides) under Hevea brasiliensis (rubber tree). The record is from RNAcentral. Lineage: Eukaryota; Viridiplantae; Streptophyta; Magnoliopsida; Malpighiales; Euphorbiaceae.